This is a non-coding RNA of Pangasius djambal, 72 nucleotides long. The record is from the annotation of a GenBank genome assembly. NCBI's taxonomy places the organism in Eukaryota, Metazoa, Chordata, Actinopteri, Siluriformes, Pangasiidae.
UCCCUGGAGGACUAGUGGUUAGGCCACAGCACUCUUGCCACUGCAGCCCGGGUUCAGUUCCCAGCCAGAGAA